UACGUAGGGGGCAAGCGUUGUCCGGAAUCAUUGGGCGUAAAGAGCGUGUAGGCGGCCGUACAGGUCAGCUGUGAAAACUCGAGGCUCAACCUCGAGACGUCGGUUGAAACCGUACGGCUAGAGUCCGGAAGAGGAGAGUGGAAUUCCCGGUGUAGCGGUGAAAUGCGCAGAUAUCGGGAAGAACACCCGUGGCGAAGGCGGCUCUCUGGGACGGUACUGACGCUGAGACGCGAAAGCGUGGGGAGCGAACAGG
Molecule: ribosomal RNA, 253 nt
Filed under: uncultured bacterium
Lineage: Bacteria
Description: partial 16S ribosomal RNA
Rfam family: Bacterial small subunit ribosomal RNA
Source: RNAcentral